CGCAAAAAUCCAACCCAAAAAUAUGUAAAUGACGUUCACGCGAUAUGUAAAUAUUCACAAUCAUGUCAAAAUACACAUAAAAUUAAAUGCUAAUUCUACUAGUACUGGCCGCAUACGAUUACAUAUAUAUUUCAAGGACAUUUAACUCACCUUUAUAGGCACAAAUACAAUUGUUUUCGUAAUGUUUUUCGCUUUCCAAUGUCGCUUUGCUUCUUCCCACAACAACAACCGAGUCACACACGUGUACGAAAAUGAUACUACCCCUCUGCAUUGCAGGCGCCGCGCCACCCCCUGGUUACG
Non-coding RNA from Paramuricea clavata, 300 nucleotides. NCBI's taxonomy places the organism in Eukaryota, Metazoa, Cnidaria, Anthozoa, Malacalcyonacea, Plexauridae. The record is from the annotation of a GenBank genome assembly.